UUCGUAGGCGGGAUAUUAAGUCAGUGGUGAAAUCCUACAGCUUAACUGUAGAACUGCCAUUGAUACUGAUAUUCUUGAAUUCACCUGAAGUAGGCGGAACAUGGCAUGUAGCGGUGAAAUGCUUAGAUAUGUCAUAGAACACCGAUUGCGAAGGCAGCUUACUAAAGUGAUAUUGACGCUAAGGAACGAAAGCGUGGGGAGCGAACAGGAUUAGAUACCCUGGUAGUCC
RNAcentral lists this ribosomal RNA (229 nucleotides) under uncultured bacterium. RNAcentral describes it as "partial 16S ribosomal RNA". It matches the Rfam family "Bacterial small subunit ribosomal RNA", at positions 568 to 796 of the family's 1533-position model. The record is from RNAcentral.